This 72-nucleotide transfer RNA is filed under the name Camelus bactrianus (Bactrian camel). It matches the Rfam family "tRNA". Rfam says of the family: Transfer RNA (tRNA) molecules are approximately 80 nucleotides in length. Their secondary structure includes four short double-helical elements and three loops (D, anti-codon, and T loops). RNAcentral also lists the same sequence under 2 other names. The record is from Rfam by way of RNAcentral. Lineage: Eukaryota; Metazoa; Chordata; Mammalia; Artiodactyla; Camelidae.
AAGGGUAGAGCUCAAUGGUAGAGUGUGUGCUUAGCAUGCAGGAGGUCCUGGGUUCAAUCCCCAGUACCUCUG